UCCGCUAGUAGUGGCGAGCGAACGCGGAAGAGGCCAAACCGGAGGUAGCAAUAUUUCCGGGGUUAGGACUGCAAUAUGUAACUUUAAUCUUUAACUGAAUGCUUUGGGAAGAGCAGCGAUACAGGGUGAUAGCCCCGUAAGUGAAAAGGAUUGAGUGCUAGCAGUAUCCAGAGUACCAGCGGACACGUGAAACCCGCUGGGAAGAUGGGGGGACCAUCCUCCAAGCCUAAAUACUACUCAGUGACCGAUAGUGGAGCAGUACCGUGAGGGAAAGGUGAAAAGUACCCCGGGAGGGGAGUGAAAAAGAACCUGAAACCUUGUGCCUACAAGCACCGAGAGCACGUUAAAGUGUGAUCGGGUACUUUUUGUAGAACGGUCCGGCGAGUUAAUAUUUGCAGCGAGGUUAAGGAACUGGAGUUCCGGAGCCGUAGCGAGAGCGAGUCUGAAUAGGGCGUAUGAAGUUGCAGGUAUUAGACCCGAAACCGGGUGACCUAUCCAUGAGCAGGCUGAAGCGGUGGUAAGACACCGUGGAGGGCCGCACCCACGUCUGUUGAAAAAGCCGGGGAUGACUUGUGGAUAGCGGAGAAAUUCCAAUCGAACUCGGAGAUAGCUGGUUCUCCCCGAAAUAGCUUUAGGGCUAGCGUUAUUUUAGAUUACCGGAGGUAAAGCACUGAAUGGUCUAGGGGCCGCGAGGUUACCAAAGCCUAUCAAACUCUGAAUGCCGGAUAAUUGAUGAAUAGCAGUCAGACUGUGUGAGAUAAGUCUCAUAGUCAAAAGGGAAACAGCCCAGAUCUACAGCUAAGGUCCCAAAUGAACACUAAGUGGAAAAUGAUGUGAAACUGCGAAGACAACCAGGAUGUUGGCUUAGAAGCAGCCACUCAUUCAAAGAGUGCGUAAUAGCUCACUGGUCGAGUGGUUUUGCGCAGAAAAUGUAACGGGGCUAAGUGUUCAACCGAAGCUUAGGCAUUGCAGUAAUGCAUUGGGUAGGGGAGCGUCGUAUGCGGGGCGAAGUCAGAGCGGAAGCACUGGUGGACUGCAUACGAGUGAGAAUGCCGGAAUAAGUAGCGAGAAUUAUGUGAGAAUCAUAAUGGCCGAAAAUCUAAGGUUUCUUGGGGAAGGUUCGUCCGCCCAAGGUUAGUCGGGAGCUAAGCUCAGGCCGAAAGGCGUAGGCGAUGCACAUACGGUAGAAAUUCCGUAACCACCGAACAUUUAAGCUAGAGGGACGCUUUCUUUAAGGUUAUCCCGGGCGAUGGUUGCCCCGGGCGUAAGGGACCGAAAUAUAGUAGGGAAGUAACUGGCGAGAGAGACGAGAAAAGCUCUAGUGUAUACUAAGGUGCCCGUACCGCAAACCGACACAGGUAGAUGGGAUGAGUAUUCUAAGGCCAACGGGAGAAGGGUUGUUAAGGAACUCGGCAAAUUGACCCCGUAACUUCGGGAUAAGGGGCGCCUGCGAGAGCAGGCCGCAGUGAAAAGGCCCAAGCGACUGUUUAGCAAAAACACAGCUCUCUGCUAAAUCGAAAGAUGACGUAUAGGGGGUGACGCCUGCCCGGUGCUGGAAGGUUAAGGGGAGUGCUUAGCGCAAGCGAAGGUGCGAACUUAAGCCCCAGUAAACGGCGGCCGUAACUAUAACGGUCCUAAGGUAGCGAAAUUCCUUGUCAGGUAAGUUCUGACCCGCACGAAUGGCGUAACGAUUUGGGCACUGUCUCAACAGCCCGCCCGGCGAAAUUGUAGUACCGGUGAAGAUGCCGGUUUCCCGCAACUAGACGGAAAGACCCCAUGGAGCUUCACUGUAGCUUGAUAUUGGAUCUCGGUAUUCCAUGUACAGGAUAGGUGGGAGGCUAGGAAGUAAGCGCGCCAGCGUUUAUGGAGCCAACCUUGGGAUACCACUCUUGGGAUAUUGGGAUUCUAACCUGCGACCAUGAAUCUGGUCGGGGGACACUGUCAGGUGGGCAGUUUGACUGGGGCGGUCGCCUCCAAAAGAGUAACGGAGGCGCUCAAAGGUUCGUUCAGCACGGAUGGAAAUCGUGCACUGAGUGUAAACGCAUAAACGAGCCUAACUGCGAGAAUGACGGUUCGAGCAGUAACGAAAGUUGGAGUUAGUGAUCCGGCGGUAUGUGAAUGGAAAUGCCGUCGCUCAACGGAUAAAAGCUACCCUGGGGAUAACAGGCUGAUCU
RNAcentral lists this ribosomal RNA (2174 nucleotides) under human gut metagenome. RNAcentral describes it as "bacterial LSU rRNA". It matches the Rfam family "Bacterial large subunit ribosomal RNA", at positions 236 to 2488 of the family's 2925-position model. The record is from RNAcentral.